AUACUUAACUGGCAGGGGAGAUGCCAUGAUCACAAAGGUGGUUUUCCCAGGGCGAGGCUCAUCCAUUGCAUUCUGGGUGGGCUGACUCCUGUGAUUUCCCCAAAUGCAGGAAAUUUGUAGUAUAAUAACUGCAUAAUGGCACCCAA
Molecule: small nuclear RNA, 146 nt
Organism: Mus spicilegus (steppe mouse)
Lineage: Eukaryota; Metazoa; Chordata; Mammalia; Rodentia; Muridae
Gene: U1
Rfam family: U1 spliceosomal RNA
About the family: U1 is a small nuclear RNA (snRNA) component of the spliceosome (involved in pre-mRNA splicing). Its 5' end forms complementary base pairs with the 5' splice junction, thus defining the 5' donor site of an intron.
Source: Ensembl